AGCCCGUGAGGCUUCCUGUUCUCAGGCCUCAGUAUGUUCACAUUUGGGAAAGGGCGGAGCGAGAGGAGCUGAGUCCUUCUCGGUUUAAAAGCGUCUCUCCAACUUUUCCACUGAAGAGUGAAUCCAGAGCCUCUCUCCCACCAAGAUACUGCUGUCUUUCCAGACCUCCUAAUGCUAACUUUUUAAACAGACAUGAAUUGCUUGCUUUUUGAAUUUUGAGAAGAUACUCUGGAAAAGAUCUAGCAAGAUGGCAGAAGCACAUAUGGAAGACUAUGAAGUUCUUGGAGAGACUCCGCAGCAUUGUUCAUAAUGGCUGUUCACAGCAAACAGAAUUUCAAACCUUCUGGGCUUCUUCCCAACUUUAAAUUCUGUUGACUGGAUUUACUAGGGGAGAGAGAGACAGGCUUAAUGCGUUUUAAGAUAAUUUUCUCCCCAAGGACUUAGAAAGGAAACACAUUUGAUAAUUAAGGGCAUGGUGGAAUCUAAGUUUUUGCGCCUGACUUUGAAGAUCUAGUGUCUUAUAUUUAAUCUGGACUCAGCUUCACCUCUCUUCAGUCACUGAGCUGUGGCUACACAGUGUACCUGGAUAUGAUUCCACCAGAUUCUAAGUGAGAAACACAUGAUGCUCACAUGGACACAGGUAGCAUAAUGAUCCUCCUUCUGUUGUGCAGACUGGCCAAGGACUCACACUAUCCUGGUCUUAGCCUCAUAAGUGAUUAAGGGAUUUCUCCAUCUUUCAAAAUAUGGUCUCUACACUGGUGCCAGGACUAGAAUGUGCAAUUAGAAGCACAGGAAGAUGAAGUUUGGUGAACCUCUUACUUAAAAGAUAUCUCAUCUCCCCUUUCCACACAACUGAAGCAACCUAAUCCACUUCAUUCAUUUUACAUUUAGAAUUACAUUUUAGAAUUGCACAUUUUCUUGGGUCAACACGUGUCAAGGAUUUAGCCCUAUGGGCCCUGAAAUAGACACUAUCUUUUUCAUCCCUUUGAUUUACUCAUGGCAUGCUUAGACAUUUAUUACAGCAUCUCAUUAAGUAGUGAAUGAGACUCAUGUGUGCAGAACAGAUCUAAAAUUGUUUCUGAGAUGUAGAUUUUUUCGAAAAGUCCCAACAUUUCUUCCACACAAAGAUAGAUGUCAUACCUAUGUAUCAAUUAGAGCUUUAAUGGAGUAAGAUUAUCUGUUCUAUGGUAAUAAAGUUUUCUUUCUUCUGAGCAGCCACUUGCAAAGUUGUGCAAGAUUCCAUGCUUUAAAUGGCAAACAGUACUGCUCAUCUCACAGAAUUCAAGUCGAUCCAGAUGUGGAUUUGAUUAAUAGAAGCUUACUAACUGUGGCUAAUUACUGAUAAUGAUAGCAUCACGAGGCAACCUCCUCAUCAAUGUCACCUUGGUCUCUUCUGAUUGCUAGGAUAGGAAGAAACUCUACCUGCCGCUCUUCCCCAGUCAAAAUGAAAACAGGGUUGGAUUUAAACCUUGGUUUGAAUGGUAGUGAGGUAGUGAACACAGGUGCAAUAACAAGUAGCCAUCCAGAAAAUGAAAGCUGCUUUUUAGAGCCAUGUGGGUACUACAGACCUGUGGACACUGGUUUUACAGUAAGGACAGAUUAGCUAAUAUCCAAAUUCUCAGAGCAGUGUUUAGUGAUCUUUUGGUAGUUUUCCCUUGACACUUAGAGCUCCAUUCUAAUUGUUUCUGUUUCCUAAAAGCAGGGGAACAGAGUUUAUGUGUCGAGAAUAAAAGUGAAAAUAAACGUCUUUUCCUGUUAGAAUAAUUUUUUUAUAGUGGUAAAACCCUUAGCAUUUCUGCCUCUUGCAUCUUUGCUUAGCAUGCCCAGAGUGUUUAUUGUUACCAUUCCCUAAACAGUACUGCAUUUACAUUUUGUUGUACAUGUUAUAUGCAACAUGCAGACAAACUAAAGUGUAUAGUAGGAUUGUGUACAUUAUAAAUGAGUACUGUGCCAAUUGAUGUGUAAGGGAUGAGCACUGUCAGAUUUGGGUAUCUGUGGGGGUCUUUGAAACAGUCCCUUGUGGAUUCCUAUGGAGGCUGUGCAUGAUUACAGCAUUUUUCUCUUUCAAGCCUAAUUGCCAGCAACUAGAUUUUCAGUGUUCUCCCAAAUAUUUGGGGGCUCUUGAGAAUUCCCAGACAGCUCAUUCUCCUAUUGUGUUUUCUUGUUCUAUUUCUAUGUUGCCUGACUGCUGCCUAUGAUCAGCCAGUAUUCUCAGACUUCUGCUGCAUGCCACAGCAAGGCUUCACUAAUAACUAUUGCUGAAUUCCCAAUGUGAUAUUAGGGAGAAGUCAGGCCAGGCUCAUUUGCUAUUUUUUUUUUCUGAAACAUGGUGCAUGCAAGUUUAACUCACAUCACAAAAGAGACUAGGCUAAAAUAUUCAAGAGGAUCAAAAUUUAGGGCUGUGAAAUACAACAGAAAAAACUUGAUCAUCUAUUUAAAAUGGUCACAAUUAAAACAAUUUUACUUAUUUGUGAAUUUCUUUUUUGUGCAGGGGAUUGAUCUGAGAGGCCUUCUACAUGCUAGCGAAACUGGCAUCCAUAUCUCAGAUGUUUUCCAGUAGGCAAUACACACAUAUUAGCGAAAUCUGGCAUCCAUAGUUCUCAGAUGUUUUCUAGUAGGCAAUACACACAUAUAGGUAUUGAUGAGCCUUGAAGAAUAGUCACUAGAGUCCAGUAAUACACUUUAAAAGUUGGAGACUAGCUAAGCAUCGAGAGUAACACAUCACCAACUCAUUCCUGAUCGCCUUUGUCUCAUUCUUUCCUACAAUGUGAAUUUCUCGUAGUUCUACCUAAGAUUCACUCCUAGACCACAUAGUACUCAGCAUGAACACAUAAUACUUUAUGGAGAUAUAGUUUUAAAAGAAAAAUCCAUUUAAAAUCAUUUAUCCCUCUUUAUAGUUCCAUAUUGAUUCUGUAGACAUAUUCUGUUUACCCCAAUAGUUUUUAAAAAUAAAUUUUUGUAUUGCUUACGGAUAAUUAAACAAUAGGAUAUUUCA
Molecule: long non-coding RNA, 2995 nt
Organism: Mus musculus (house mouse)
Lineage: Eukaryota; Metazoa; Chordata; Mammalia; Rodentia; Muridae
Product: RIKEN cDNA 4930467D21 gene
Exons: 8
Source: RefSeq, marked validated